UAAUACCUGCAGCUCAAGUGGUGAUCGUUAUUAUUGGGCCUAAAACGUCCGUAGCCGGUUUAGUAAAUGCCUGGGUAAAUCGUGCCGCUCGACGGUACGAAUUCCGGGUAGACUGCUAAACUUGAGACCGGGAGAGGCUAGAGGUACUCCUGGGGUAGAGGUGAAAUUCUGUAAUCCUAGGGGGACCACCAGUGGCGAAGGCGUCUAGCUAGAACGGGUCUGACGGUGAGGGACGAAGCCCUGGGGCGCAAACCGGAUUAGAUACCCGGGUAGUCCAGGGUGUAAACGCUGCUUGCUUGAUGUUAGUCGGGCUCCGAGCCCGAUUAGUGUCGGAGAGAAGUUGUUAAGCAAGCUGCCUGGGAAGUACGGUCGCAAGACUG
Molecule: ribosomal RNA, 380 nt
Filed under: uncultured Thermoplasmata archaeon
Lineage: Archaea; Methanobacteriati; Thermoplasmatota; Thermoplasmata
Description: bacterial SSU rRNA
Rfam family: Archaeal small subunit ribosomal RNA
Source: RNAcentral